Molecule: ribosomal RNA, 654 nt
Filed under: Klebsiella pneumoniae
Lineage: Bacteria; Pseudomonadati; Pseudomonadota; Gammaproteobacteria; Enterobacterales; Enterobacteriaceae
Description: bacterial SSU rRNA
Rfam family: Bacterial small subunit ribosomal RNA
Source: RNAcentral
AAAUUGAAGAGUUUGAUCAUGGCUCAGAUUGAACGCUGGCGGCAGGCCUAACACAUGCAAGUCGAGCGGUAGCACAGAGAGCUUGCUCUCGGGUGACGAGCGGCGGACGGGUGAGUAAUGUCUGGGAAACUGCCUGAUGGAGGGGGAUAACUACUGGAAACGGUAGCUAAUACCGCAUAACGUCGCAAGACCAAAGUGGGGGACCUUCGGGCCUCAUGCCAUCAGAUGUGCCCAGAUGGGAUUAGCUAGUAGGUGGGGUAACGGCUCACCUAGGCGACGAUCCCUAGCUGGUCUGAGAGGAUGACCAGCCACACUGGAACUGAGACACGGUCCAGACUCCUACGGGAGGCAGCAGUGGGGAAUAUUGCACAAUGGGCGCAAGCCUGAUGCAGCCAUGCCGCGUGUGUGAAGAAGGCCUUCGGGUUGUAAAGCACUUUCAGCGGGGAGGAAGGCGGUGAGGUUAAUAACCUCACCGAUUGACGUUACCCGCAGAAGAAGCACCGGCUAACUCCGUGCCAGCAGCCGCGGUAAUACGGAGGGUGCAAGCGUUAAUCGGAAUUACUGGGCGUAAAGCGCACGCAGGCGGUCUGUCAAGUCGGAUGUGAAAUCCCCGGGCUCAACCUGGGAACUGCAUUCGAAACUGGCAGGCUAGAG